This 384-nucleotide ribosomal RNA is filed under the name uncultured bacterium. RNAcentral describes it as "bacterial SSU rRNA". It matches the Rfam family "Bacterial small subunit ribosomal RNA", at positions 28 to 412 of the family's 1533-position model. The record is from RNAcentral.
GACGAACGCUGGCGGCGCGCUUAACACAUGCAAGUCGAGCGGUAAGGCCCUUUCGGGGGUACGACGAGCGGCGAACGGGUGAGUAACACGUGGGUGACCUGCCCUCAGCUCUGGGAUAAGCCUGGGAAACCGGGUCUAAUACUGGAUAUGACUCCAUGACGCAUGUUGUGGGGUGGAAAGCCUUGUGCGGCUGAGGAUGGGCCCGCGGCCUAUCAGCUUGUUGGUGGGGUGANGGCCUACCAAGGCGACGACGGGUAGCCGGCCUGAGAGGGCGACCGGCCACACUGGGACUGAGACACGGCCCAGACUCCUACGGGAGGCAGCAGUGGGGAAUCUUGCGCAAUGGGCGAAAGCCUGACGCAGCGACGCCGCGUGAGGGAUGAC